RNAcentral lists this ribosomal RNA (253 nucleotides) under uncultured bacterium. RNAcentral's name for it is "partial 16S ribosomal RNA". It matches the Rfam family "Bacterial small subunit ribosomal RNA", at positions 524 to 776 of the family's 1533-position model. The record is from RNAcentral.
UACGUAGGGUGCAAGCGUUGUCCGGAAUUAUUGGGCGUAAAGAGCGCGCAGGCGGUCGUGCAAGUCGCGUGUGAAAGCCCCCGGCUCAACUGGGGAGGGUCACGCGAUACUGCUCGACUCGAAGGCAGGAGAGGGAAGUGGAAUUCCCGGUGUAGUGGUGAAAUGCGUAGAUAUCGGGAGGAACACCAGUGGCGAAGGCGACUACCUGGCCUGUUCUUGACGCUGAGGCGCGAAAGCUAGGGGAGCAAACGGG